CCGUAGCUCAGUUGGAUUAGAGCAGCGGCCUUCUAAGCCGCCGGUCGUAGGUUCGAGUCCUACCGGG
RNAcentral lists this transfer RNA (67 nucleotides) under marine eukaryotic metagenome. It matches the Rfam family "tRNA", at positions 5 to 66 of the family's 71-position model. Rfam says of the family: Transfer RNA (tRNA) molecules are approximately 80 nucleotides in length. Their secondary structure includes four short double-helical elements and three loops (D, anti-codon, and T loops). The record is from RNAcentral.